GAUAUUGCACAAUGGACGGAAGUCUGAUGCAGCGACGCCGCGUGGGCGAAGAAGGUUUUCGGAUCGUAAAGUCCUUUUCUAUGUGACGAGGAAGGACGGUAGCAUAGGAAUAAGCCCCGGCUAACUCCGUGCCAGCAGCCGCGGUAAUACGGAGGGGGCAAGCGUUAUCCGGAUUUACUGGGCGUAAAGGGCGCGUAGGCGGCGGCGCUAGCCGCUUGUGGAAGCUCCUGGCUCAACCAGGAGAUGCCAAGCGGGACGGCUCCGCUCGAGGCAGGGAGAGGGUCGCAGAACUGGCGGUGGAGUGGUGAAAUACGUAGAUAUCGCCAGGAAUACCCGUGGCGAAGGCGGCGACCUGGCCCUGUUCUGACGCUCAGGCGCGAUAGCGAGGGGAGCGAACGGGAUUAGAUACCCCGGUAGUCCUCGCCGUA
This 428-nucleotide ribosomal RNA is filed under the name uncultured marine bacterium. RNAcentral describes it as "bacterial SSU rRNA". It matches the Rfam family "Bacterial small subunit ribosomal RNA", at positions 359 to 804 of the family's 1533-position model. The record is from RNAcentral.